Molecule: ribosomal RNA, 525 nt
Filed under: uncultured bacterium
Lineage: Bacteria
Description: bacterial SSU rRNA
Rfam family: Bacterial small subunit ribosomal RNA
Source: RNAcentral
ACAUCCAGCGAACUUGGCAGAGAUGCCUUGGUGCCUUCGGGAACGCUGAGACAGGUGCUGCAUGGCUGUCGUCAGCUCGUGUUGUGAAAUGUUGGGUUAAGUCCCGNAACGAGCGCAACCCUUAUCCUUUGUUGCCAGCGAUUCGGUCGGGAACUCAAAGGAGACUGCCGGUGAUAAACCGGAGGAAGGUGGGGAUGACGUCAAGUCAUCAUGGCCCUUACGAGUAGGGCUACACACGUGCUACAAUGGCGCAUACAAAGAGAAGCGACCUCGCGAGAGCAAGCGGACCUCAUAAAGUGCGUCGUAGUCCGGAUCGGAGUCUGCAACUCGACUCCGUGAAGUCGGAAUCGCUAGUAAUCGUGGAUCAGAAUGCCACGGUGAAUACGUUCCCGGGCCUUGUACACACCGCCCGUCACACCAUGGGAGUGGGUUGCAAAAGAAGUAGGUAGCUUAACCUUCGGGAGGGCGCCUACCACUUUGUGAUUCAUGACUGGGGUGAAGUCGUAACAAGGUAAGCGUAGCGAG